RNAcentral lists this non-coding RNA (149 nucleotides) under Mediterraneibacter torques. RNAcentral describes it as "Ruminococcus torques FMN sequence". It matches the Rfam family "FMN riboswitch aptamer (RFN element)". From Rfam's summary of the family: The RFN element is a highly conserved domain that is found frequently in the 5'-untranslated regions of prokaryotic mRNAs that encode for flavin mononucleotide (FMN) biosynthesis and transport proteins. This element is a metabolite-dependent riboswitch that directly binds FMN in the absence of proteins. In Bacillus subtilis, the riboswitch most likely controls gene expression by causing premature transcription termination within the 5' untranslated region of the ribDEAHT operon and precluding access to the ribosome-binding site of ypaA mRNA. The record is from Rfam by way of RNAcentral. Lineage: Bacteria; Bacillati; Bacillota; Clostridia; Lachnospirales; Lachnospiraceae.
UUUAAUCUUCGGGGUAGGGUGCAAGUCCCAACCGGCGGUAUAGUCCGCGACCCGCAUAUGAUGCGGCUGAACUGGUGACUCGUCUGUGAUGGCAUUACAGAAUGGGAAUUCCGGUACCGACAGUAAAGUCUGGAUGAGAGAAGAAGUUC